GGCUCAGGAUGAACGCUAGCUACAGGCUUAACACAUGCAAGUCGAGGGGCAGCAGGGAUUUAGCUUGCUAAAUUCGCUGGCGACCGGCGCACGGGUGCGUAACGCGUAUCCAACUUUCCCGUUACUCUCGGAUAGCCUUCCGAAAGGGAGAUUAAUACGAGAUGGUGUUCUAAUUCCGCAUGUUAUUAGAACUAAAGAUUCAUCGGUAACGGAUAGGGAUGCGUGACAUUAGAUAGAUGGCGGGGUAACGGCCCACCAUGUCCACGAUGUCUAGGGGUUCUGAGAGGAAGGUCCCCCACACUGGAACUGAGACACGGUCCAGACUCCUACGGGAGGCAGCAGUGAGGAAUAUUGGUCAAUGGCCGGAAGGCUGAACCAGCCAAGUAGCGUGAAGGAUGAAGGUUCUAUGGAUUGUAAACUUCUUUUAUGAGGGAAUAAAACCUCCCACGUGUGGGAGCUUGUAUGUACCUUAUGAAUAAGCAUCGGCUAACUCCGUG
Molecule: ribosomal RNA, 497 nt
Filed under: uncultured bacterium
Lineage: Bacteria
Description: bacterial SSU rRNA
Rfam family: Bacterial small subunit ribosomal RNA
Source: RNAcentral